This 520-nucleotide ribosomal RNA is filed under the name uncultured Glomus. Its description in RNAcentral is "SSU rRNA". It matches the Rfam family "Eukaryotic small subunit ribosomal RNA", at positions 569 to 1092 of the family's 1831-position model. Lineage: Eukaryota; Fungi; Glomeromycota; Glomeromycetes; Glomerales; Glomeraceae. The record is from RNAcentral.
AGCAGCCGCGGUAAUUCCAGCUCCAAUAGCGUAUAUUAAAGUUGUUGCAGUUAAAAAGCUCGUAGUUGAAUUUCGGGAUUAGUACGUUGGUUGUGCCUUCGGUACGUACUGGUGUUACUGAUUCCUACCUUCUGACGAACCAUCAUGUCAUUUAUUUGGUGUGGCGGGGAAUCAGGACUGUUACUUUGAAAAAAUUAGAGUGUUUAAAGCAGGCUCGCGCUUGAAUACAUUAGCAUGGAAUAAUGAAAUAGGACGUUGACCCUAUUUUGUUGGUUUCUAGGAUUGACGUAAUGAUUAAUAGGGAUAGUUGGGGGCAUUAGUAUUCAAUUGGUCAGAGGUGAAAUUCUUGGAUUUAUUGAAGACUAACUACUGCGAAAGCAUUUGCCAAGGAUGUUUUCAUUAAUCAAGAACGAAAGUUAGGGGAUCGAAGACGAUCAGAUACCGUCGUAGUCUUAACCAUAAACUAUGCCGACUAGGGAUCGGANGAUGUUAUUUUUAAUGACUCAUUCGGCGCCUUACG